CAAGGACACGCGAGCUGUGAGCAAAAAGUGACUAACCAAGUGAUCCUAGUGCCAAGUCGUGUGUGUGACUGUGACUGUGUGUGUGUUUGUGUGUGAAAAUAGUAUCAAAGCAAAACGCAAUUGCCGCUGGGCAAUUAAAAGGACAAUCUCUGGCCAAAACGUAAAUGAAAACUAAAGUCAAAUAUCUGUGCUGGCAAAUUUAAAAUAAACAGUGAAAUCGUCAAACCAAAAACAAAAGCAUAAGAGAAAGAGCCCGAAAACACAAAACAAAAAGCAACCAAAAAAUAGAAUCAAAACAAAACAAAACGCAAAAAAAGAAUAACGAAAGCAAAAACAAAAAAUACGAAAACGAAAUUUAAACGUCUGCAUAUUAAUCAGUGCUGCCUUCGCGACACGUCCUUACGACGACAGCGUAGGUUUGCAGCUUCCAGCUACGAGCUACAACGAGCAUCAAAACAGAACCCCACAGCAGCAGAGCAGAGGACAACUUAUCACUAAGGAUUUAGAGGCGCCGCUCGCAAAGCCGCUUAGACGUCAGGGACGACGACGACGACGACGACGAGUGGCCAGAGGCAAACGUUAAUCAACGGUCACAGGACCGGACGCAAAGUGCGCUCCUGUCUAGUUGUCUUUCGUGGGAUUCUCUCGCGCUCGCUCAACAUCAACAAAAACAAGAACAACAACCAGUAGCAAGGAAACGUCGCCUCAUUUGGCCACUGCGGAUUAUGUUAAUUAGAUUUUAAGCACGCGACGCUGCGAUGCCAGGGGAACAAUUGACGUUGUAAUGUGACAACAGUUGACUGCAGCAACAACAACGAGAGCAACAACAUCGUCCUCUACUAUAAUCAGAGCAACAAUAACAGGUGAAGCGAUGCACGCUUUUUAAUUGACAUUUACUCGAGUCGAACAACGUUGUACAGCAAUUAGCUGACUGCCUGAUAAAAGUUGAAAGAGGCGAAAAGAGACGAAAGUAAAAAAGCGAAAAGCGUAAAACAAUUGCAAACGACAAAUUAAAAAAAACAACAACAACACAAACUCAAAACAACAAUUGAAAAGGUGAUGGCCAAGUUGAUAUUUAAUUAAAUAUUCAGCAUUUUUAGAGGCUACGCUGAAAAGUAGGCAACGCUUUUGCCAACCUAUCGCGUUCGCUCUCUCUUAAAGCAGAGCCAAAAACAAUGGCCGCCAUUGCGGAAACAAUGGCAACGCAAACGUUAAAGCUGUCAAACUGUUGACAGUUGUCACAUGGUCGACCAGAGGAGCGCACGUGACGCAAAAAUCGUGCCAGGAAAGGGCAACUGGUGAACGUGAGUGAAUGAGUGAAUGAAUGAAUAAAUGGCAGGCAAAUGAAUGAAACGGCCAAACGUUCGCCAUAUUCAAAAAUUGAGGCAACAGCGACAAACGGCCAACACGCUAAACAUCUGCACGUACAACGCAUAAAUUUUAAGUGAAAUUAAAGGCAGUUGCUUCCCA
Drosophila albomicans is the source of this 1470-nucleotide long non-coding RNA. RefSeq lists it as uncharacterized. NCBI's taxonomy places the organism in Eukaryota, Metazoa, Arthropoda, Insecta, Diptera, Drosophilidae. The transcript has 3 exons. The record is from RefSeq and is a predicted model, not a curated record.